This 68-nucleotide transfer RNA is filed under the name Empis trigramma. Its description in RNAcentral is "tRNA-Asn". The record is from RNAcentral. Lineage: Eukaryota; Metazoa; Arthropoda; Insecta; Diptera; Empididae.
UUAAUUGAAGCCAAAUAGAGGCCUAUCAUUGUUAAUGAUAUUAUUGAGUUAAAAUCACUCCAAUUAAG